GAUGAACGCUGGCGGCGUGCCUAAUACAUGCAAGUCGAGCGAACGGACGAGAAGCUUGCUUCUCUGAUGUUAGCGGCGGACGGGUGAGUAACACGUGGAUAACCUACCUAUAAGACUGGGAUAACUUCGGGAAACCGUAGCUAAUACCGGAUAAUAUUUUGAACCGCAUGGUUCAAAAGUGAAAGACGGUCUUGCUGUCACUUAUAGAUGGAUCCUCGCUGCAUUAUCUAGUUGGUAAGGUAACGGCUUACCAAGGCAACGAUGCAUAGCCGACCUGAGAGGGUGAUCGGCCACACUGGAACUGAGACACGGUCCAGACUCCUACGGGAGGCAGCAGUAGGGAAUCUUCCGCAAUGGGCGAAAGCCUGACGGAGCAACGCCGCGUGAGUGAUGAAGGUCUUCGGAUCGUAAAACUCUGUUAUUAGGGAAGAACAUAUGUGUAAGUAACUGUGCACAUCUUGACGGUACCUAAUCAGAAAGCCACGGCUAACUACGUG
This 497-nucleotide ribosomal RNA is filed under the name uncultured bacterium. RNAcentral's name for it is "partial 16S ribosomal RNA". It matches the Rfam family "Bacterial small subunit ribosomal RNA", at positions 28 to 507 of the family's 1533-position model. The record is from RNAcentral.